CCUACGGGUGGCAGCAGUAGGGAAUAUUGCUCAAGGGGGGAAACCCUGAAGCAGCAACGCCGCGGGGAGGAUGAAGGUGUUCGGAGUGUAAACUCCUUUUGUUAGAGAAGAGAAUGACGGUAUCUAACGAAUAAUCACCGGCCAACUCCGUGCCAGCAGCCGCGGUAACACGGAGGGUGCAAGCGUUACUCGGAAUCACUGGGCGUAAAGAGCGCGUAGGCGGGAUAGCAAGUCAGAUGUGAAAUCCUAUGGCUUAACCAUAGAACUGCAUUUGAAACUGUUAUUCUAGAGUAUGGGAGAGGUAGGUGGAAUUCUUGGUGUAGCGGUGAAAUCCGUAGAUAUCAGGAGGAAUACUCAUUGCGAAGGCGACCUGCUAGAGCAUAACUGACGCUGAUGCGCGAAAGCGUGGGGAGCAAACAGGAUUAGAUACCCUAGUAGUC
RNAcentral lists this ribosomal RNA (440 nucleotides) under uncultured bacterium. RNAcentral describes it as "partial 16S ribosomal RNA". It matches the Rfam family "Bacterial small subunit ribosomal RNA", at positions 338 to 795 of the family's 1533-position model. The record is from RNAcentral.